UAAAAUGAAUUUCACCUCCUCUUACUCCCUGUGGGUUUAUUUGGUGAAACCCUAAUCUGAUAAUUCCGUCUCCUCCAGAUUCGGCUGCAUCUACCUUCUUGCAGUCCGUCGAGGGGGUCGGAUCUCUUCGGCCAGUGCUGAUCUCGACCUCCUCGAGUCCAUGGCCUUCGGCACUGUCUCGUUCGAAGAGCUCCUCGGCCACUGCAACGAGGUAUUCAAGAACAACCAGAGAUGCACCGUCGACCUUGAGAAGCGGAUGCAGAGCUUAGGCUACGUCACUAGUGAGCACCGAGCCACUGACGCGAAUUCCUAGAGUCAUCGUUUGCUUUUCUGCUACUCUGAUUUGUGUUGUUGCGCAGAGGUGGAGUUGGAAGAUGAGGAGAUUUUGGACGAUUCGAAGUUUACGAGCCCCGUGAGUGGGUUUCAGAGACCUUUCUUUGAGUUUGUCUCAGUUUCUGUUGUUCAGUUGAGCAAGAAGGGGCCAGAAGAGUAUAUCUUUUUAUUCAGAUUGACAUGCAAUUUAGAAAUAGAAAACCGAUUCAAAUUGGUUGAAUCACGAGUAGAAGGUUAGGGGAUUCCUUCUGUAAGCUUGCAAGUUCUUGCUCUCACAUUUAACUUGAUCCUAUAAUAAAAUAUCUGAGACAACUUUGCCUGGAUAUCCAAAACUUGCCCUGCAUGCUACAGAUUCAUACACAAUGAAGAAAUUUCAGUUGCCAGAAAUGCUGCCAAAGCAAUAGUGCAUGCAUCUAAAGAGGACUACAAUGACCUGCCUGCCUUCAUGAAAAAUCUGGUAGUGUGCGAGGAGUUGCAGGAAGCUGCGGUCAAGAUCAACUCUUUCCUCUCUAUACAUGAGCAAAAUGAUGUCUUUAGGCAAGAUGAGCUUGAAAAAAUGGUGCUCGGUCUACCCAAGUUUAGAAAUGUGGAAGAGAUGAGGUUGUUUCACCAAUGAAGAGCAAUGACGAUGAGCAGCGCCGCCUCUGUCUUUUCAAAGUCCCCCAGGUUGAUCGUUUCACACUGGUUGGUGUGAUUGGGGUGUGCCUGCAGAAUGCAUCAGUUCUCCUCCCUCUCUCGCUACGCAGUACAUGAGCCCCUGGAGAUGUCUCCUGCCUCGCUGAGAUAGCUCACAUCUCCCUUGCUUCAGGAGAGGUGCCAACCUUCCUACAUGAUGUUUUUGAACCCUCUUACUCUUUCAUGAAAGAUAAUCUCUCUCCUAUUUUUUUAGCGGGUAGACAAGUUGUAGGCUGAUAAACACAAUCACCUUAAUUGGUUCAUGCUUUUUGUGUUCUUGCCUAAGCUUGAGAUGAUUAAUGUUAAGAACAUACAUUAUUUGGCUAUCAUGGUAAGUAUGCUUAACCUUAUGCAA
This is an RNA transcript of Zingiber officinale, 1363 nucleotides long. RefSeq lists it as uncharacterized. The record is from RefSeq and is a predicted model, not a curated record. The transcript is spliced from 6 exons. Lineage: Eukaryota; Viridiplantae; Streptophyta; Magnoliopsida; Zingiberales; Zingiberaceae.